AUUUUGCAGAUGGUUUAAUAGUUAUAAGAUUUUAGUUAAGCCCUUAAUCCAAAUUUAAUUUACUUUUUGCUAACACUACUUCUUUUGAUAUCUGGCAGUGUAGGAAGAAGCUUGAAGCGAUUUUCAGAUUGGAGCUAGAGAAAGAGGAAAAUAAUGGAGGGCUGAUGCAGAUGAAAAAUGAUGAGGGUAAUCAAUUGAGUUAGGUGCUAGAUAACAUUAUCACCCUUGUCAUUGGUGG
Molecule: unclassified non-coding RNA, 238 nt
Filed under: Hevea brasiliensis (rubber tree)
Lineage: Eukaryota; Viridiplantae; Streptophyta; Magnoliopsida; Malpighiales; Euphorbiaceae
Source: RNAcentral